This 344-nucleotide ribosomal RNA is filed under the name uncultured eukaryote. RNAcentral describes it as "SSU rRNA". It matches the Rfam family "Eukaryotic small subunit ribosomal RNA", at positions 567 to 917 of the family's 1831-position model. The record is from RNAcentral.
CCAGCAGCCGCGGUAAUUCCAGCUCCAAUAGCGUAUAUUAAAGUUGUUGCAGUUAAAAAGCUCGUAGUUGGACUUCUGGAUGCGAUGGCCGGUCCGCAGCAAGUCUGUGUGUACUAGGUGGUUGCAUCCAUGCUCACGGGGGUGCGUCUGUCGGGAGACCGUCGGGCGUUGAUCCGUGUCAUUUACUGUGAAAAAAUUAGAGUGUUUAAAGCAGGCAUAUGCCUUGAAUACAUUAGCAUGGAAUAAUAAGAUAGGACUUUGGCCUAUUUUGUUGGUUAUUAUGCCAAGGUAAUGAUUAAUAGGGAUAGUUGGGGGUAUUCAUAUUUCAUUGUCAGAGGUGAAAU